Molecule: long non-coding RNA, 444 nt
Organism: Macrobrachium nipponense
Lineage: Eukaryota; Metazoa; Arthropoda; Malacostraca; Decapoda; Palaemonidae
Exons: 4
Source: RefSeq, a predicted model, not a curated record
UAACCAUGGCAAGAUGUCUCGAUGUCUCGUUAGUGUUUUUUUUAAAUAGUGUUACGCUUUAUUACGAGAUUUCCAUCGAAUAUGAGGCUACAGGCUCGGAAAGGUCAGUGGGAGCAAAGGAGACAUAGAAGUGGAAGAAGAAUGCUAAAGAUUUCACUCUUAAAUGCUCCUUUUUAAAUGCAAGUCGAAAGUUCAUUCACCCGUACCCAGACCUCUUCCUUAACCGUCGAGUGUAAGCUCGUUCGCCCGAAUAUGAGUCACACGAACCUUUCAAGUACGGUACGGGAGCUGUUUAUCCCCAAGUCGGCCAAAGAUCAUAAGUACCCGUAGCGCAGCACAAGAUUCCAGAUGUACACACCAGGGAUGGAUUGCGAUUGCCGAAGAUUUCCAGGAGUUGUGGCAAUUUCCGAAUUGUUUAGGAGCUGUCGACGGAAAACAAGUUGC